GGCGGUGUAGCUCAGCUGGUUAGAGCACACGGUUCAUACCCGUGGCGUCACUGGUUCGAAUCCAGUCACCGCUACCC
This 77-nucleotide transfer RNA is filed under the name Collinsella sp. An271. Its description in RNAcentral is "tRNA-Met". It matches the Rfam family "tRNA". From Rfam's summary of the family: Transfer RNA (tRNA) molecules are approximately 80 nucleotides in length. Their secondary structure includes four short double-helical elements and three loops (D, anti-codon, and T loops). Lineage: Bacteria; Bacillati; Actinomycetota; Coriobacteriia; Coriobacteriales; Coriobacteriaceae. The record is from RNAcentral.